RNAcentral lists this long non-coding RNA (2817 nucleotides) under Pongo abelii (Sumatran orangutan). RNAcentral describes it as "lincRNA". The record is from RNAcentral. Lineage: Eukaryota; Metazoa; Chordata; Mammalia; Primates; Hominidae.
AACUGAGGUUAAGCAAAAGCACAGAAUCAUGAAAAUUAUUCUUUGAAAUGGCAAAGAUUUCUGUGGCUGGAUCAUGGGAUUUAUUGAGUGGAGCGAUUUCUCCUCAGAAGACCAGACACAUGCAGCAUAAAUACUUUUUGGAGAAAAACACUAUGAGGAGCAUUGAGAAAGUCCUCAUUUGGAAUACUUAGCUGGAUUUACCUAAACUGAACUUUCCCUUCCUUGACCCAGGGCAACCUCUGCCAAGCCCACCACCCUCCAGCUCCUACGCCAUGAAAGAUCGAAGAAGAUAAUCAGAAAAACUACCCAAGAAAAGGAAAAGGGAGAAUCAGUUACAUAUCCAGCAAGCCAGAAAACAAGAAAACCCAAAUCUGUUCCAGUUCUCUAGUUUCACCUUAAAGGCAAAGAACUGUAGAUGCUUGUGAGGAGCUCUUCAAAGCCUAAAUUCAUAGCCUCUCUACGCGGGAGGUUACCAGCAUCUGAAGAAAAACAACCACUACUAGAAAAGCUCUUCUUUGUUUUCAUUCUUCGCAGUCCUUCAGGAAACUCUUGAUAAUGUGAAAUGUUAUUACUGCAAAUGUUGGCUCAAGCAAGUUUACUCUAGAGUCUGACUAUCACUGACUUGUUCGCAAAAUAAAAUCAUUUUUAAAGCCUACGAGGAAAGCCAAGAGCAAACCACAAAUCAGAAAACCACCAAGGCGGGCUGGCCUCAUUGCCAGAAUUUAAUGUGAUCUAAUGGGAGGACAACAAGAUGUGAGAAUUUGAUUUUACGAUGCUCCAUGUAACAUUUGGCAAUACGGAGGGGUUGGACCCAACUUCCCCAUCCUUAAGCAAACAUUUGAAGUAAUGUUUCACUUUCUCAUCAGUUUUAAUUCUGUCAGCGAGAGGGUAGAGAUUCAGCCGGCCCUGCUCAUUUUAAAAGUGCCGUCUGCUUUGGAUGCUCAUAGAUUUGCUUAAUAUCCAUUUGUAUAAGAUGAAGACGGGCAGGUGGUGAAGCGGCCAGGAAAAUAGGAUGAAGCUAUUUAGUGGCAGUGUACCAACUAGACUGCCACUCUCUUCUGCACUGGUGAUUUAUUCCAUGGGUGGGAAGGCAGGAAUAGGGCUAACUUAAGCAACAUUCUUUCACAAGCAAAAACUAACCUCAAUGAGAAAGAGUCCAAUCUGGGCUGAAUCACGUUGCCCAGUCUCACACCAAAUGGGACUGGAACUCAGGUGGAGCUCUAUUUUCCAUCACUCAUUCUUUGAAAAAGAAAUAAAAUGGUAGCAACAGAGAAACGCUUUGUAUAUGUCAAAUUAACAACGGAGGACCCUAUGGAAUAAAGAAAGCCAGUCAAGAAAUCCCAUAGAAGGGCACAUGAGCAAUGAAAAAUACAUUAAAGUUACAUAUUUCAUGCAGUUUUUAUUUCUGUUGCCAGGACAAUGGAAUGAGAAUCAGAUCUCUUUUUUUCCUUCUUACAGAAUAAUGCAACCUUACCAAUGCCAAACUCCUACUUACACUGUCAUUUUAAUCCAGUUACAAAGUUGGCCCAGUGAAGAAAUGUAAAACGCAUAGAGUCAAGUUUCUUAAAGCAAUAGUUUGCUAAAGGAAGUAUAAUAAAUACAGGGUCUAGGAAAAAAUUACUAGAACUUCUAUUUCUAUUGACUUUUAAGCUAAACACUAAGAAGGAAAGAAAGCCUCACUAAGAGUUAAAAUCUGGAUGACACCAGUUGUCCUCAUUUGGUACAGAUACAGACAGUCACCUCUCACCCACCACCUGUGGACUGUAAGUCUUCCUGAAAGAAGGUUGAGGGUUCAACAGUGCUGAGGGUAUGAUAGGGGUAGCAUCAGUUCAGGUAGGCUGGGCUGCAGUAACACAUAGACCAAGCAGGUAAUGGCUCAACACAAUAGGAAGUUAGUUCUUGCUUAGGGUGCCAUUCUGGUGAUGAGAUCAGCAGGACAGCUCAAGCCAUGCCAUCACUUAGAUGAGGCUCUGCCAACUUCGGCUUAUGGUUAGCAUAGCCAUCUGCAUCGCUUCCUGCAGGAGGAAGGAAGAACCUUGGAGAAUCACUUCUAGGAGGCUUUUUAUGGGACCAGACUGAAAGUGGUACAUGUUAUUGAAGCUCAUCCUCCAUUGGCCAUGACUUAGUCUCAGAGCCACACCUAACCACAACGGAAGCCAGGAAAUGUAGCCUGGUUAUGUGCUCAAGAAGAAGAAACAAAUUAUGGCAAACAGUCAGCAGUUUCUACCAUAGGUGUGCUCAUCCAUUCAGUGGAUUGCAAUGUAUUGCAAUCGACAUGUUCCCCUUACACAGAUUUAACCAUUUUAAUAAAAUUUAACCUCAUAAAAUGAACAGGUAGCUGCAAAAUAUUCCUACUACAAAGUUAAAAAUUGAAGAUAAUAUUAAUAAUACGAACACAAGCCAACCACAAGAAAAGAACAAAGCUAAAGCCUCAUAUUUUAAACUCUUUGUCAACAAUAAUGUGAGGUUUUUUUUAAAAAGACUAUUAAAUUACUUCUGGAAAGAAGUCAAACCAAAUAUUUUUUAAAAUUUUAAGUUUAUUUGAAAUACAGAUUUAUAUCCACUUUUAUAAUAAUGAACCUUACAUACCAUAUAUACCUGAAACAUGGCUAAUAAGAAUGUGAACAUAUCAAAAUUAGCAAAAAAUUUAAGUAGCCAUAAAAUAAACAUGGAGAAAAGCUUCUGUAAUUUUAUGUGCAGUUUAAAGUCAUGUUAUACUUAAUCUAUUAUUCUGAAAAAUUUUACUAAACUUGAUGAGAGAUGUUUAGAGGUCUCCUUUGAGAUUUCUCAUUAAAUAAUAAAGUACAAAAAGCCACA